Non-coding RNA from Python bivittatus (Burmese python), 3956 nucleotides. Lineage: Eukaryota; Metazoa; Chordata; Lepidosauria; Squamata; Pythonidae. The record is from RefSeq and is a predicted model, not a curated record.
UCAGUUUUCUUCUUCCUUCUUCAAUAGUUACUUUGGAUGAUUACAAACUCCCCAAUAGUGAUGAAGAAGAGGAGGAAGCCAUUCAGAGAGUUCUGAAGCAGCUUACUGAGGAGGCAGCUCUAGAUGAAGCAAGUGGCUUCAAUAUUUCUCCAAAUCAGUCUGCAACUGUGCAAUGGAAUCCCACUGAGAAAACCAAGGCACAAGCUCCAGUUGUUGCUAAACAUCUAAUCUUGCCUCCAAAAGCACCAGACAGUGAUGAGGAAGAAUUACCCUGGUGCUGUAUCUGCAAUGAAGAUGCCACUGUGCGCUGCCAUAGCUGUGAUGAUGACCUCUAUUGCCAGCAAUGCUUCAGGGAAAGCCAUGAUGAGUAUGAUUGGAAGGAGCACAGAACAUCUGGCUAUCGUCCUCCCUGCUGGCAAAAAUGAGCCCAAAGAGCAUGAGGGGAAGGGUCCAAAAAAGACAGUGGCCAGAAACUGGGCUACGAAGAGCAACUCUGGACUAUUAAGGAAGGGCAAAGCUAUGCUUGGCAAGAACAAGGCAGCUGCAAUGAAGUUAAAUGAGACACUGAAGCUGGUUUGUCUUGUGAAUAAGCCAUGGAGAAUAAUAUGGUUAAAUAGGAAGGUUAUUGUGCAUCAGAGGACUAUGAUUAGUGGAGAAAUACAGUGUGAAUAUUUGCAAAGGUAAUAAAUGAUAUGAAGAAAAUAAUGCAAUGAACUUGGGCUCUGUUUCUCUGCUACAAAAAAAAAUCAGCCUCAUAUUUCUGAUUUUUAGCAACUUAUCAACAGAUUCUAAAGCACUUUAAAAAUUAUGUACUGUUGUUCAUUCCUCAGAAAAGCUCAUUGGUGUAGGCAGCCCAUUGACAUUGCUGGGGGUGCCUGUCUGGGCGCUAUCUUCAUCCGCACCAUUCACAUUCCAGGAGGCUGCCUACUGUCUGUCCUUGCCAAUGAAUGUGAAGUGUUCUGGGAUUUACUGGGUAUGGAAAGUCCUUGCAGGGAUCAAGCCAAAUGGUCAGUGAGGCUGCCCUUCCAGGUUGAUAUCUGUAGAGGCACUUCUGUUUCUUUAUGCUGAUAUCAUAAUCCAACUAUGCACAUUCCACUAGUUCCUCUUUCAGUUAUACCAAUCAUCUGCCGAAAUGCGUAUGGGGGCAGGGCAAUUGUUUGAAAUGUGGGUGCUUAAGAAACCAUGAGAUUGAGGCUUCUCAGGUACUUCAUCCCUGAGACACUAUUUUUUCAUUUCAGGUGUAUGUCAUUCCUCUUUUCAAUAUCAGAUUUCACUAGAACUGUUCCUCCUGGAGCACCUGGUGGAGAGAAUUACGUCCACUUGCCUUUCUCCUCCAGGCUUCAGGUAUCAGGAGGAAUGGGCAACUAGCUAUUAAUUUACCCCAUUGCUGUCAUCACCGAUGUUCAAGGUUGGCCAGUGCACAACAUAUUGGAUAGAUUCAUCCUUCCCGGGGGGGAGGGGGCAGGAUGGCUCUUGAUGUCCUUCCAAAUUCUCUUUUCAAUCAGCCAUAAACCCUCACUCUGCUGUCCUUCUUUGCCUCAUCUUCUCAUCUCUUCUGUAUGAGAGGUCUCUCUGUGGGUAUAUGUUUAUAGAACUGAAUAGGGUAUAUUUUUUGUUCGUGAUUUGUUUCUUGUUUUAAACUUGGGAAUCAAUGGAGAUUAUCUCUAUAAGUGUGUGUCUUUCAAUAUAUGUUAAACAAGUAAAUUAACAGUCAUAUUCUUUUUCAUAUUAUUUAAAUUUCAUUCUGUUUCACCUAUUUUUAAAAUCUCUUUACCCCUUCCUCCUCUUAUGGUAAGGCCUUUGAUAUGUUCCUCAAAGGCUUGGGCAGCCCUUGACCCAAUAAAAGUUACAUACUCCUGCCCUAGAUAUUUGGGCAUUUAAAAUGGAUAAUUCAGAUGGCAGCCACAUGAAAUAGUAAACGUUACUCAUCAAUUAACAUUUUCCCUCUUUCAUUGUUUUGCUUUUCUUCAAGUUAACUUAGUCUCAAAUAUAUGACCCAAUGUGGCCAAAUUAUUCUACAUAUCUGAACAGAGGGCAAUAAAAUGGCUUUUCUUCCCAAAUUGACAGCUCUGCAUAAACUGAAUUUCUUACCUGUGUUAAGAAGUUAAGAUUGUGUUAAAGCAAUUUAGGGCUACAGAAAACCUGGCAUCAAUUUAUGUCUAUUAACAGCUAAUUUGCAGUCAUAAUAACUUUCUCACUGAAACUUGUCCUUUGCAUGUAAUUGUGUCUUAGGUGAAUUAAAGGACAAUCUUCUAUGGGAAGUCGAGAAUUUGGCAAGAAUUUCAAUGCAAUCAGACUCAGAAUUCAGUUAUGAGUUUGGUUUAUAAUGCGUAGCCAGAAAAAUGCAGAUGUGUGGAAGAAAUACAUGCUCAAGAGGGAAACAUUUCCAGGGUCAUCUUCAGCUGUAAUGUCUCCUUCAACCUCUUUUUGACCCUUGGUGUUGCUUGCCUGCAGUAUGUUUUACAGCCUUGAAGAACUGGUCAAACAAGUAUGAUAGAAAUUGUGUGGUAGAAAACAAUUUAAGAAAUUGACUAGCACUUGUGCACUUAUAGCCAGCUUGUGAAUAGCAAUGCAUGUUCCAUAAUGGAUUUCAACAGUAAAUAUGUUUUCAUUUUUUUCAGCAGUAACCAAAUGGUCACUUCCUAUAGUUAUAUACAUACGCCAAUGUACAUUUUCCAAAUGGCUGGCUACAACAUUAAAAAAAUAAUAAUUAAAAGAUAACAAAGACAGUAAAAUAUAAGCUCAAAAUAUCAGGUUUUCAGCUUUGAAAAAAUAAGACUAGUCUGACACAGAGCAGGAAGAACAAAUUGUUUGAAAGGUUGUAUGGAAAUGAAAAAGAAAUUAUCCUUACUUGAAGCUACUGUAUAAAGUAGAUACAGUACCAAGAAAGCUGACCUUGCAAAUAUCUUGAAGUCACAACUCAGGUGCUGCCACAAGACAGUGCUCUUCCUAAAAUUUCCCUGUCUUCCUAAAUUGGCAGGAACAUCUGGAGCAGAGUCUCUUGAGUAAUUUGGUGGCUGUCUGACAGAGAACAGGCUCAUAACAGAAUGCAAGAUGCCAUAGUCUAGUGAAGAGAGAAUGACGUUUAAGUUUCAGACCUUGUAUGCAUUUAUUUUUAAAUAUGUCCCUACACUCAGCUUUAAAACCAAGUUUCCCAAGGGGGCUUACAAUACAUUAAAACCACCACAAUUUCCAUAAUAAUUAAAAUGCAAAAGUAAACAGCCAGAGUAAUGAAAAUGUACAAUAAAAUAAGCAAAAAUAGCAGUCCUUUAAAAGUUUUGGUGUAGCAUAUAUCCCUCUGGAGCAAGAUAAUGUAUGCCAGUGUGGCUCUUUGUGGCAAUUGGGGUUAAUGCUGGGACUCUCCAGGGCCAAAGCAGAUUUUUUUUUUUAAGUGCUUUGGAUGGAAACCUCCAAAAUGGUCGGGGAGUUUCUGUUUGAUUCUGUGGACUGGGGAUUAAUAAAAGCUGUCCACUCCACCAAAGUAUCUAUCUACCACAGAAGUUUUUCUCUAGCUUGCUUUAAUGUUCUGUCCCCAAUGGUAUUAAAGUAUGUCCAUGUAAAGUUCAUUGCAUCAAAUUCUGUUUGCUGUGUGCUGAUCUUAUACCUCCCCUGGAAUGUAAUCCACCUGAUAGAUCAGAGGAAGACUGUAUUAUUAGCCUUUUGUUUGAUAUCAGCACCUUUGAGAUCACCAGGAGAAUCAAAAGAUUUCUAUCAUGAUUGCACAGCCAGAACUAUUCAAGCAAGUUGAGCCUGUAUGUUAUUGUUUACUAAUGUUGGGUUAUCUUCCUCUUGUUUUAACCUUUUUUCUUUUUCAGUUUGACUUUUCUGUAUACUGUAAUUUGAUCUUUCAUCAGGGUAAAGCUAGAACGAAGCAUAUGCAUGCUUAAUCACUGUAUUAAAAUACCUAAGACAAUAAAAAUAUUUUUUCCUGGUCCCCAAAAGACUAUAACAUCAGU